GGGUAUAGCUCAGUGGCAGAGUGUGUGCUUAGCAUGCACAAGGUCCUGGGUUCAAUCCCCAGCACCUCCA
This 70-nucleotide transfer RNA is filed under the name Camelus bactrianus (Bactrian camel). It matches the Rfam family "tRNA". Rfam says of the family: Transfer RNA (tRNA) molecules are approximately 80 nucleotides in length. The record is from Rfam by way of RNAcentral. Lineage: Eukaryota; Metazoa; Chordata; Mammalia; Artiodactyla; Camelidae. RNAcentral also lists the same sequence under 3 other names.